Molecule: ribosomal RNA, 463 nt
Filed under: uncultured bacterium
Lineage: Bacteria
Description: partial 16S ribosomal RNA
Rfam family: Bacterial small subunit ribosomal RNA
Source: RNAcentral
GACGAACGCUGGCGGCGUGCUUAACACAUGCAAGUCGAACGGAAAGGCCUUUUCGGAGGUACUCGAGUGGCGAACGGGUGAGUAACACGUGGGUGAUCUGCCCUGCACUCUGGGAUAAGCCUGGGAAACUGGGUCUAAUACCGGAUAGGACCGCACUUUAGUGUGUGUGGUGGAAAGUUUUUUCGGUGUAGGAUGAGCCCGCGGCCUAUCAGCUUGUUGGUGGGGUAAUGGCCUACCAAGGCGGCGACGGGUAGCCGGACUGAGAGGUUGGUCGGCCACAUUGGGACUGAGAUACGGCCCAGACUCCUACGGGAGGCAGCAGUGGGGAAUAUUGCACAAGGGGAGCGAGCCUGAUGCAGCGACGCCGCGUGGGGGAUGACGGCCUUCGGGUUGUAAACUCCUUUCGCCAGGGACGAAGCGUUUUGUGACGGUACCUGGAGAAGAAGCACCGGCUAACUACGUG